UACGUAGGGUGCAAGCGUUGUUCGGAUUCACUGGGCGUAAAGGGUGCGUAGGUGGCAUGGUAAGUUUGAUGUGAAAGCUCAGGGCUCAACCCUGAAAUGGCAUUGAAUACUACUGUGCUGGAGGUUUGGAGGGGGGACUGGAAUUCUUGGUGUAGCAGUGAAAUGCGUAGAUAUCAAGAGGAACACCAGUGGCGAAGGCGAGUCCCUGGACAACACCUGACACUGAGGCACGAAAGCUAGGGGAGCAAACAGG
Molecule: ribosomal RNA, 253 nt
Filed under: uncultured bacterium
Lineage: Bacteria
Description: partial 16S ribosomal RNA
Rfam family: Bacterial small subunit ribosomal RNA
Source: RNAcentral